This 465-nucleotide ribosomal RNA is filed under the name uncultured bacterium. RNAcentral's name for it is "partial 16S ribosomal RNA". It matches the Rfam family "Bacterial small subunit ribosomal RNA", at positions 28 to 507 of the family's 1533-position model. The record is from RNAcentral.
GACGAACGCUGGCGGCGUGCUUAACACAUGCAAGUCGAACGGAAAGGCCCCUUUUGGGGUACUCGAGUGGCUAACGGGUGAGUAACACGUGAGUAACCUGCCCUUCACUUCGGGAUAACUUCAGGAAACUGGGGCUAAUACCGGAUAGGAAUCCUUGCUGCAUGGUGGGGGUUGGUAAGCUUCGGGGGUUUGGUAUGGACUCGCGGCCUAUCAGCCUGUUUGUGGGGUAGUGGCUUACCAACGCUUUGUCGGGUAGGUGGCCUGAGAGGGAGAGCGGCCACAUUGGGAAUGAGAUACGGCCCAGACUCCUACGGGAGGCAGCAGUGGGGAAUAUUGCACAAUGGGCGGAAGCCUGAUGCAGCAACGCCGCGUGCGGGAUGACGGCCUUCGGGUUGUAAACCGCUUUCAGCAGGGGCGAAGCUUGUGGUGACGGUACCUGCAGAAGAAGCACCGGCUAACUACGUG